UUGCUCUUCAACGAGGAAUGCCUAGUAAGCGCAUGUCAUCAGCAUGCGUUGAUUACGUCCCUGCCCUUUGUACACACCGCCCGUCGCUACUACCGAUUGAAUGGCUCAGUGAGGCCUUCGGACUGGCUUAGGGAGGUUGGCAACGACCACCCCGAGCCGGAAAGUUGGUCAAACUCGGUCAUUUAGAGGAAGUAAAAGUCGUAACAAGGUUUCCGUAGGUGAACCUGCGGAAGGAUCAUUAUUGUAGGGGCCUUUUGGCCCAUUACGAGAAGCAACCCUUGUCUUUUUUGUGCACCGAUCGUUUCCUCGGCAGCUUUGCCUGCCAAUGAGGACCCCCGAAAAACCUUUUGCAGUCUUAGUAUAACGUUCUGAAAACAAACAAUAUCAAAACUUUCAACAAUGGAUCUCUUGGUUCUGGCAUCGAUGAAGAACGCAGCGAAAUGCGAUAAGUAGUGUGAAUUGCAGAAUUCAGUGAAUCAUCGAAUCUUUGAACGCACAUUGCGCCCUUUGGUAUUCCUUUGGGCAUGCCUGUUCGAGCGUCAUUUACAAAUUCAAGCUCCGCUUGGUGAUGGGUGUCUGUCCCGCCUUUGCGUGCGGACUCGCCUCAAAUGCAGUUGGCAGCUUGUUCCUCGGCUCUAAACGCAGCAGAUUUGCGUCGAGCGUCGUGCGGACGGGCUCUCCAGUAAGCAAACCCCCCCACAAAUUGACCUCGGAUCAGGUAGGGAUACCCGCUGAACUUAAGCAUAUCAAUAAGCGGAGGA
RNAcentral lists this ribosomal RNA (761 nucleotides) under uncultured fungus. RNAcentral describes it as "eukaryotic LSU rRNA". The stretch from base 1 to 241 matches the Rfam family "Eukaryotic small subunit ribosomal RNA", at positions 1593 to 1831 of the family's 1831-position model. Lineage: Eukaryota; Fungi. The record is from RNAcentral.